This 503-nucleotide ribosomal RNA is filed under the name uncultured Desulfobulbus sp. RNAcentral's name for it is "bacterial SSU rRNA". It matches the Rfam family "Bacterial small subunit ribosomal RNA", at positions 903 to 1382 of the family's 1533-position model. The record is from RNAcentral. Lineage: Bacteria; Pseudomonadati; Thermodesulfobacteriota; Desulfobulbia; Desulfobulbales; Desulfobulbaceae.
GCCAGCCCGCUCAGAACUUAAAUGAAUUGACGGGGCCCGCACAAGCGGUGGAGUAUGUGGUUUAAUUCGAUGCAACGCGAAGAACCUCACCUGGUCUUGACAUCCCGGAGACCCUUAGGAAACUAGGGGGUGCUUCCAUCUGGAAGAAUCUGGAGACAGGUGCUGCAUGGCUGUCGUCAGCUCGUGUCGUGAGAUGUUGGGUUAAGUCCCGCAACGAGCGCAACCCUUGCCUUUAGUUGCCAGCAGUUCGGCUGGGCACUCUAAAGGGACUGCCGGUGUUAAACCGGAGGAAGGUGGGGAUGACGUCAAGUCCUCAUGGCCUUUAUGACCAGGGCUACACACGUACUACAAUGGCCGAUACAAAGGGCAGCGACACUGCGAGGUGAAGCCAAUCCCGUAAAAUCGGUCUCAGUCCGGAUUGGAGUCUGCAACUCGACUCCAUGAAGUUGGAAUCGCUAGUAAUCGUGGAUCAGCAUGCCACGGUGAAUACGUUCCCGGGCCUU